RNAcentral lists this ribosomal RNA (254 nucleotides) under uncultured bacterium. RNAcentral's name for it is "partial 16S ribosomal RNA". It matches the Rfam family "Bacterial small subunit ribosomal RNA", at positions 524 to 776 of the family's 1533-position model. The record is from RNAcentral.
UACGGAGGGGGCUAGCGUUGUUCGGAAUUACUGGGCGUAAAGCGCGCGUAGGCGGAUCUGCAAGUCGGGGGUGAAAUCCCGAGGCUCAACCUCGGAACUGCCUUCGAUACUGCGGGUCUCGAGUCCGGGAGAGGUGAGUGGAAUUCCUAGUGUAGAGGUGAAAUUCGUAGAUAUUAGGAAGAACACCAGUGGCGAAGGCGGCUCACUGGGCCCGGUACUGACGCUGAGGCGCGAAAGCGUGGGGAGCAAACAGG